AGCAAGCACCAAAUAUUCAUGCUUUGUCUGAGCUCAUCGCUACUAAGACUGUCUUUGCCUAAGAACUGCCGACCAAUGUUGUUUUAUUGCGUGCGUUUUUAUAUCCUGGUGGGGACCUAAACCUGAAUAGUUAUUUUGAAAAUGUAAAAGAAAGUGUUCUGUAAGGGGUAGGGGUAGGGGUAGAGUAAGGGGACAAUCCGGACAGUAUAAAACCGCUGCAAACAGCAAAACCGCUGUUUUUUUAGUUGUUUGUAGGGAGAGAUGCGCAGACGCGCAGCAGGUAACACACAACCCAGCAAGCAAUAGCCGUCAGUUCACCGUCUCUGUUCACUAUAGACCCGAUAUAGUCCGGCUAUGUGUGACCCCCUUCUAGCCCAAAAACCUUGAAUUUGGAUACAUGUCAUUUUUUGGCAAAAUAACUUGUGAGAUGUAUGAUAUUCCAUCACGUAAGCAAAGUGAACAACGUUUACAAUGUGUUUGAUUUCAUUUCUUUGACAUGUUCUAUGCGUAGCCUGUUUGUAGCCAAGAUUUAGCUCGUAGUCAGACCGGCUAUUUGUAGCCCACUCAUAGUCAAAUCUGAUUCAUUGUAGUUUUUGGCAGGCAGCGCAUGAGAUAGUUGAUAUACCAUCAUGUUUGCGGUGUCAAUAAUAUCUACUAAGAUGUCAGUGUCAUUUAAUGACAUGAUAUAUAUGUAGCCACGUUUUAGCGCUGAGCUGGAUGGGCUAUGUGCAGUCUGCUUUUAGCCCAACCGGCGAAAUCGAGGCAAUCAGUGUCUAAUUUUAACAGCUUGGCUAUAGCCCAGUAUCAGACCAGCAAUGAGCAUGGCCAAAAUAGUCUUAAAAUAUUUAUAUUUUAUUUCAUUAUUUUAUAGCAUUAUUAAAUAAUGCAUUAUUAAUUAUGCCAAAAUAAUGCUAAUUUAAAUGUUUCAAAAGUUUAAUUGCAUUUAAUAAUAUGAUGUCAUGCAUUCCACAGCCUGUUAAGCGUAACAUUCAUACACAUUAUACAACAUAAUUUGACUUUCUUUCAAUUUAUAAAUAAAUAUGCAAUAACAAUUCCCAACCGCUAGAUGGCAAUUGUCGCCCUACUGAGACAUGACUACUGGCAACGCGAGACUUAAAAGUUAGUAGAGAGCACUGCUGCAAGAUCCCGCGAUAAUUCCGCCGUUUUGAAUUUUGUUUUUACACGAGAGAACACUAAGUUUACCUGUGGGAAAUCAACGGGCAAACAACAAACAAUAAAGGACUUUCCUGCUUGGUCUUGGUGUCAAAGUUGUGCAGAAUUGAAUGAAGAAAUCUCAAAGACAGUGCCAGAAGGAUGCUGGAAAGAUGCAGUGAUGACCAACUUGUACUUGAGGAAUGCAGUUGGGAAACAUUUUAUACAAGAAAAAAAACAAUAAUGAAUCAUUUCCUUUGAGUUCACUGUUGGUUGUUUUAUUUGUUAAAAUAAGUAAACCAACAAAUUGUUUAAUCUUUUUUUAAUCUAAUUUUUUUUUUUUUUACGUUGUCAUUUAUCCGCAAUGUUUUAAUGUUAAGU
Molecule: long non-coding RNA, 1533 nt
Organism: Labeo rohita (rohu)
Lineage: Eukaryota; Metazoa; Chordata; Actinopteri; Cypriniformes; Cyprinidae
Exons: 3
Source: RefSeq, a predicted model, not a curated record